GGUGAGUAACACGUGGGUAACCUGCCUGUAAGACUGGGAUAACUCCGGGAAACCGGGGCUAAUACCGGAUGGUUGUCUGAACCGCAUGGUUCAGACAUAAAAGGUGGCUUCGGCUACCACUUACAGAUGGACCCGCGGCGCAUUAGCUAGUUGGUGAGGUAACGGCUCACCAAGGCGACGAUGCGUAGCCGACCUGAGAGGGUGAUCGGCCACACUGGGACUGAGACACGGCCCAGACUCCUACGGGAGGCAGCAGUAGGGAAUCUUCCGCAAUGGACGAAAGUCUGACGGAGCAACGCCGCGUGAGUGAUGAAGGUUUUCGGAUCGUAAAGCUCUGUUGUUAGGGAAGAACAAGUGCCGUUCAAAUAGGGCGGCACCUUGACGGUACCUAACCAGAAAGCCACGGCUAACUACGUGCCAGCAGCCGCGGUAAUACGUAGGUGGCAAGCGUUGUCCGGAAUUAUUGGGCGUAAAGGGCUCGCAGGCGGUUUCUUAAGUCUGAUGUGAAAGCCCCCGGCUCAACCGGGGAGGGUCAUUGGAAACUGGGGAACUUGAGUGCAGAAGAGGAGAGUGGAAUUCCACGUGUAGCGGUGAAAUGCGUAGAGAUGUGGAGGAACACCAGUGGCGAAGGCGACUCUCUGGUCUGUAACUGACGCUGAGGAGCGAAAGCGUGGGGAGCGAACAGGAUUAGAUACCCUGGUAGUCCACGCCGUAAACGAUGAGUGCUAAGUGUUAGGGGGUUUCCGCCCCUUAGUGCUGCAGCUAACGCAUUAAGCACUCCGCCUGGGGAGUACGGUCGCAAGACUGAAACUCAAAGGAAUUGACGGGGGCCCGCACAAGCGGUGGAGCAUGUGGUUUAAUUCGAAGCAACGCGAAGAACCUUACCAGGUCUUGACAUCCUCUGACAAUCCUAGAGAUAGGACGUCCCCUUCGGGGGCAGAGUGACAGGUGGUGCAUGGUUGUCGUCAGCUCGUGUCGUGAGAUGUUGGGUUAAGUCCCGCAACGAGCGCAACCCUUGAUCUUAGUUGCCAGCAUUCAGUUGGGCACUCUAAGGUGACUGCCGGUGACAAACCGGAGGAAGGUGGGGAUGACGUCAAAUCAUCAUGCCCCUUAUGACCUGGGCUACACACGUGCUACAAUGGACAGAACAAAGGGCAGCGAAACCGCGAGGUUAAGCCAAUCCCACAAAUCUGUUCUCAGUUCGGAUCGCAGUCUGCAACUCGACUGCGUGAAGCUGGAAUCGCUAGUA
Molecule: ribosomal RNA, 1249 nt
Filed under: Bacillus sp. B-3-23
Lineage: Bacteria; Bacillati; Bacillota; Bacilli; Caryophanales; Bacillaceae
Description: bacterial SSU rRNA
Rfam family: Bacterial small subunit ribosomal RNA
Source: RNAcentral